This 236-nucleotide ribosomal RNA is filed under the name uncultured bacterium. Its description in RNAcentral is "partial 16S ribosomal RNA". It matches the Rfam family "Bacterial small subunit ribosomal RNA", at positions 100 to 334 of the family's 1533-position model. The record is from RNAcentral.
CGGGACGGGUGAGUAACGCGUGGGUAACCUGCCUUGUACAGGGGGAUAACAGUUGGAAACGGCUGCUAAUACCGCAUAAGCGCACAGCAUCGCAUGAUGCAGUGUGAAAAACUCCGGUGGUAUGAGAUGGACCCGCGUCUGAUUAGGUAGUUGGUGGGGUAACGGCCUACCAAGCCGACGAUCAGUAGCCGGCCUGAGAGGGUGAACGGCCACAUUGGGACUGAGACACGGCCCAA